CUCAUUGCUCUCUUUGUGGCCGUAGCUGUAUGAUAAGGUGUCCCUGAUCAUCAUUUCUUUGCUCAGAAACAUAUUCCAGCAGAAUAAAUUGCUACUGAAAACUUAAUCUGUUACGCCAUUUCAUCAGACUAAUACCAAAGGAUCUGAAAAAUUCAGGCCUGAAAGAUCAAAAACAUUCACAUUGCAAGUCCCUGAGGAGGCAGGCAUUGACCUCCAUGCAAGAAAGAAGCAGAAGGAAAUUGAUGAGCUGUUGGUCUCCUGGAAAUAAGUAACUGUUUCAGAAUUGGUAACUAGAGCAACAAGGAAAAUGGAUAAACUCCAUGCAGAGACUUUAUUGAAUGCAGAUUUUUUUAAAAGUAUGUGUCUAUCUUUCAGUUCAUAAUAUUUUUUUCUCAUUAGUUAGUGUAAAUGCACAAUGUCCCAGUUUAGUUUAACACCAGCUCAUGUUGGGAACAAUAACAUUUUUCUUUGUAAAAAACAAAUCAACCCAUCCCCAAGCCCAUAUGAGCUUUUAAAUAAGAAAUCCAUUAGAAUGAGGGGGACAUAUUUUCCCUUGAUAUUCCUGGAGCAGGAUGCAAUGUUGAAUUUUCAUCAACAAAGGAACUGAGGGAAUAUAUUAGACUCCCUGCUCUCCAUCAUUUAUGAUUAAUAAUUAUGGAGAGUAUUGUAAUGGAAAACUAAGAAUACGCAAUAUAGUAUCCAAUAAGCAAGCAAUGACAGAUAGCAGGGGCUUAAAUAGGAGUCUUUCACACUAUAACAUUAGUUGCAAUUUCCAUUCAUAAUUGUCUUAUUUUGUAAAAGUACUUUAAAUGACUAA
Pantherophis guttatus is the source of this 817-nucleotide long non-coding RNA. RefSeq lists it as uncharacterized. Lineage: Eukaryota; Metazoa; Chordata; Lepidosauria; Squamata; Colubridae. The record is from RefSeq and is a predicted model, not a curated record.